Molecule: ribosomal RNA, 492 nt
Filed under: uncultured bacterium
Lineage: Bacteria
Description: partial 16S ribosomal RNA
Rfam family: Bacterial small subunit ribosomal RNA
Source: RNAcentral
AGUGAACGCUGGCGGUAGGCCUAACACAUGCAAGUCGAACGGCAGCACAGUAAGAGCUUGCUCUUACGGGUGGCGAGUGGCGGACGGGUGAGGAAUACAUCGGAAUCUACUUUUUCGUGGGGGAUAACGUAGGGAAACUUACGCUAAUACCGCAUACGACCUACGGGUGAAAGCAGGGGAUCUUCGGACCUUGCGCGAUUGAAUGAGCCGAUGUCAGAUUAGCUAGUUGGCGGGGUAAAGGCCCACCAAGGCGACGAUCCGUAGCUGGUCUGAGAGGAUGAUCAGCCACACUGGAACUGAGACACGGUCCAGACUCCUACGGGAGGCAACAGUGGGGAAUAUUGGACAAUGGGCGCAAGCCUGAUCCAGCCAUACCGCGUGGGUGAAGAAGGCCUUCGGGUUGUAAAGCCCUUUUGUUGGGAAAGAAAAGCAGCAGGUUAAUACCCCGCUGUUCUGACGGUACCCAAAGAAUAAGCACCGGCUAACUUCGUG